CAGACUAGAGCUAUAAAGCAUUUUAUUUACAUUAAAAAGUUAGUUGGUUAGUUCAACUUAGUUUGA
Molecule: transfer RNA, 66 nt
Filed under: unidentified
Description: Exostira schroederi tRNA-Val
Source: RNAcentral